GUAGUCAUAUGCUUGUCUCAAAGAUUAAGCCAUGCAUGUCUAAGUAUAAGCAAUUAUACCGCGAAACUGCGAAUGGCUCAUUAUAUAAGUUAUCGUUUAUUUGAUAAUACUUUACUACUUGGAUAACCGUGGUAAUUCUAGAGCUAACACAUGCUAAAAAUCCCGACUUCGGAAGGGUUGUAUUUAUUAGAUUAAAAACCAAUGCCCUCUCGGGGCUCUCUGGUGAAUCAUGAUAACUAGUCGAAUCGACAGGCCUUGUGCCGGCGAUGGCUCAUUCAAAUUUCUUCCCUAUCAACUUUCGAUGUUUGGGUCUUGUCCAAACAUGGUGGCAACGGGUAACGGAGGGUUAGGGCUCGACCCCGGAGAAGGAGCCUGAGAAACGGCUACUACAUCCAAGGAAGGCAGCAGGCGCGCAAAUUACCCAAUCCCGACACGGGGAGGUAGUGACAAUAAAUACUGAUACAGGGCUCUUUUGGGUCUUGUAAUCGGAAUGAGUACAAUUUAAAUCCCUUAACGAGGAACAAUUGGAGGGCAAGUCUGGUGCCAGCAGCCGCGGUAAUUCCAGCUCCAAUAGCGUAUAUUAAAGUUGUUGUGGUUAAAAAGCUCGUAGUUGAACCUUGGGCCUGGCUGGCCGGUCCGCCUCACCGCGUGCACUGGUCCGGCCGGGCCUUUCCCUCUGCGGAACCCCAUGCCCUUCACUGGGUGUGGCGGGGAAACAGGACUUUUACUUUGAAAAAAUUAGAGUGCUCAAGGCAGGCCUAUGCUCGAAUACAUUAGCAUGGAAUAAUAGAAUAGGACGUGUGGUUCUAUUUUGUUGGUUUCUAGGACCGCCGUAAUGAUUAAUAGGGACAGUCGGGGGCAUCAGUAUUCAAUUGUCAGAGGUGAAAUUCUUGGAUUUAUUGAAGACUAACUACUGCGAAAGCAUUUGCCAAGGAUGUUUUCAUUAAUCAGGAACGAAAGUUAGGGGAUCGAAGACGAUCAGAUACCGUCGUAGUCUUAACCAUAAACUAUGCCGACUAGGGAUCGGACGAUGUUACAUUUUUGACGCGUUCGGCACCUUACGAGAAAUCAAAGUGCUUGGGCUCCAGGGGGAGUAUGGUCGCAAGGCUGAAAACUUAAAGAAAUUGACGGAAGGGCACCACCAGGGGUGGAGCCUGCGGCUUAAUUUGACUCAACACGGGGAAACUCACCAGGUCCAGACACAAUGAGGAUUGACAGAUUGAGAGCUCUUUCUUGAUUUUGUGGGUGGUGGUGCAUGGCCGUUCUUAGUUGGUGGAGUGAUUUGUCUGCUUAAUUGCGAUAACGAACGAGACCUUAACCUGCUAAAUAGCCCGUAUUGCUUUGGCAGUACGCCGGCUUCUUAGAGGGACUAUCGGCUCAAGCCGAUGGAAGUUUGAGGCAAUAACAGGUCUGUGAUGCCCUUAGAUGUUCUGGGCCGCACGCGCGCUACACUGACGGAGCCAGCGAGUACUCCCUUGGCCGGAAGGCCUGGGUAAUCUUGUUAAACUCCGUCGUGCUGGGGAUAGAGCAUUGCGAUUAUUGCUCUUCAACGAGGAAUGCCUA
RNAcentral lists this ribosomal RNA (1563 nucleotides) under Podostroma cordyceps. RNAcentral's name for it is "partial 18S ribosomal RNA". It matches the Rfam family "Eukaryotic small subunit ribosomal RNA", at positions 20 to 1616 of the family's 1831-position model. The record is from RNAcentral. Lineage: Eukaryota; Fungi; Ascomycota; Sordariomycetes; Hypocreales; Hypocreaceae.